CAUAGAUAUUGGGUGUAAGAACUGGCCCACAAGGGAGCUGGUUCCAUCCUGCAAAUUCUCUUUCUGAGUUUCUUGAUCUGUGAAGCAAAGACUGGUCCUACAUCCGAAUUGCCGGCACAAGACAAAAAAAAUGUAUCGGAACAAUUGGACUGUCUGCAUGCGCUAAAUAGGUCUUGAGCUUUGUACAAGAGAUAUUGGGCGUAAAAACUGGCCCACAAGGGAGCUGGCUGCACCCUACAAAUUCUCUUCCUGAGCUUCUUGAUCUGUGAAGCCUAGACUGGUCCUACAUCCAAAUUGCUGGCUAAAAAGAAAAAAUUUGUUUAGGAACAAUUGAACUGUCUGCAUGCUUUUUACGGGGAUGGGUAAAGUAACGUACCCGCGAGAUGAGAACUUGUUCCGGGACUGUCUGCAUUCACUUUUUUUGUCCUCGUGUAUUAUUUUCAACUCACCACGGGGUUUCUUUUACCGCAGUUUUCUAUCUUUUGUUAAAGGGAGUCAAGGAUGAAAUGACCCAAUUGUGAAGGAUACAGAAGUUAACUUAAUCGUGUUUUCGCCAAGCAGGAGCUAAGGCAAAGACCUUGACCGCACAGAAAUUAACGUCAGGGAGACUGGAUACCAGCUUUCGGCGCUGGGAUGUCUGGGAACGUUUGAACAGUCAAGAAAAAAGAGAGCUGUCUCUGGAGUGAAAACAUUCUAGGUAUCAACAGUGAACAGUUUCAAAGUUUGAGAAAAUGGCUUUGGGAACCUUUUGCUCGCUAUCGGGAAAGUUCCUUCG
Molecule: long non-coding RNA, 775 nt
Organism: Orbicella faveolata
Lineage: Eukaryota; Metazoa; Cnidaria; Anthozoa; Scleractinia; Merulinidae
Source: RefSeq, a predicted model, not a curated record